GCCGGCUGUGAGGGACCUACGGGGGAACCGCUCCCACAUUGCAGACGUCUGGCUAGACAGGAGCUUCCCCUGGCUGAAGAAAGAGGGUGCUGCUCAGAAGAUGCCACUUUCUGGGUCCUAGUGCUGGUUGAGCUCCUCUUCUGUGUGCUGGGAGCUAUCCUGUUUUCUGUACAACAAAUCCCCUCUGGAAUAUGGGGUGCUGUGCAGCUGUGAUGGUGGGACUGCAAGGAAGGUGGUGGGCAGCGGGGAGGUCUAUGGGCAACAUUGAGGGAAAACCUCCUCUCACUCAGCAGUAACCCCUACAGCUGCCUAAGAAGCUUCACCGGGAAGUUCCAGACUGUCUCAUCCAUUCUACUCAAACUGGAAAGAUUACAUGCACAAGGCUGAGCACAAACCCAAGUGAUACCAACUACCCAUUACACUGAUCUGACGCAAGUUCUUGUUUUGGAGAAGCCUUUGAACCAACUCCAAGAGUUUAACCUUAGAAAUUGAUUAAUUGAGCUUCUCAGCCGUGAUGGAACAUAAAACAAAUAGUAGUCUAGUCUAACAAGGUCUCAGACCAUUCAGCACUUGAAAUAUUACACAGAGGAACAGCAUUCAAGGAGAGAGUAAGAGCCUGCACAGCUAAAGUCUGGGACCAUGGGAGUUCUGGGCUGCUGACACCUCCACAUCACCACAGGAGGCACUGGCUAGGUUCCCACAGGAGGACCAUGUGAGGCUGGGCCCAGCAGGAAAUACUACCCAGCAGGACCUGAGUGGCAGCUCCUUGCAGCCCACUGAUUGGCUGGGACUGGUACUUAAACCAGAAGCCAUGCCAGAGAGUUGUCUGAGUAACAAUACAGACUGCCUGCCUGGUUUCAGGGAGAGAUCCCAGACUCUGGCUUCUGACCCUGCCUGAUUCUUGGUUUAUUCCCAGGCCUAUCUCAGACUCUGACCUCCAGUAACCAGAUGCUGCAUGCCUACUGAUUACUGGUUUGCCCUCUGGCCUGUCUUGGACUGACUCUCUGGUACCUGAUUCAGCCUGACUCCUGCUCUGAUUGCCCAAAAACCACUCAUAACACUCUAGGCUACUCAUUCAAAUCUGGUCCAGAUAUGCAGCAAACAAAAGGUUAAUUAUCCAAUGGCUAUUUGACAAU
This is a long non-coding RNA of Mauremys reevesii (Reeves's turtle), 1136 nucleotides long. RefSeq lists it as uncharacterized. The record is from RefSeq and is a predicted model, not a curated record. The transcript has 5 exons. Lineage: Eukaryota; Metazoa; Chordata; Testudines; Geoemydidae.